GCGAAAUGUUGUAAAAUGCGGAAAAUAUAGGCUAUAGCCCUGCGAAAUUUGCAAAUUUUGUAUUAAUUUGUAGUACGCACGGGAAAAUGUACCACUUUCCGCCCAAAUGUGGUGCAUUUUCCCGCGCGUGAUAUAAAUUAAUACAAAAUUUGCAAAUUUCGUUGGGCUACAGUAUAUUUUCCUUAUUUUACAACAUUUCGC
Non-coding RNA from Paramuricea clavata, 201 nucleotides. Lineage: Eukaryota; Metazoa; Cnidaria; Anthozoa; Malacalcyonacea; Plexauridae. The record is from the annotation of a GenBank genome assembly.